CGUAACAAGGUCUCCGUUGGUGAACCAGCGGAGGGAUCAUUACCGAGUUUACAACUCCCAAACCCCUGUGAACAUACCACUUGUUGCCUCGGCGGAUCAGCCCGCUCCCGGUAAAACGGGACGGCCCGCCAGAGGACCCCUAAACUCUGUUUCUAUAUGUAACUUCUGAGUAAAACCAUAAAUAAAUCAAAACUUUCAACAACGGAUCUCUUGGUUCUGGCAUCGAUGAAGAACGCAGCAAAAUGCGAUAAGUAAUGUGAAUUGCAGAAUUCAGUGAAUCAUCGAAUCUUUGAACGCACAUUGCGCCCGCCAGUAUUCUGGCGGGCAUGCCUGUUCGAGCGUCAUUUCAACCCUCAAGCACAGCUUGGUGUUGGGACUCGCGUUAAUUCGCGUUCCCCAAAUUGAUUGGCGGUCACGUCGAGCUUCCAUAGCGUAGUAGUAAAACCCUCGUUACUGGUAAUCGUCGCGGCCACGCCGUUAAACCCCAACUUCUGAAUGUUGACCUCGGAUCAGGUAGGAAUACCCGCUGAACUUAAGCAUAUCAAUAAGCGGAGG
This 555-nucleotide ribosomal RNA is filed under the name Fusarium oxysporum. RNAcentral's name for it is "eukaryotic LSU rRNA". The stretch from base 191 to 344 matches the Rfam family "5.8S ribosomal RNA". Lineage: Eukaryota; Fungi; Ascomycota; Sordariomycetes; Hypocreales; Nectriaceae. The record is from RNAcentral.